Molecule: ribosomal RNA, 447 nt
Filed under: Granulicatella elegans
Lineage: Bacteria; Bacillati; Bacillota; Bacilli; Lactobacillales; Carnobacteriaceae
Description: bacterial SSU rRNA
Rfam family: Bacterial small subunit ribosomal RNA
Source: RNAcentral
GACGAACGCUGGCGGCGUGCCUAAUACAUGCAAGUCGAACGAGAGCGACCGGUGCUUGCACUGGUCAAUCUAGUGGCGAACGGGUGAGUAACACGUGGGUAACCUGCCCAUCAGAGGGGGAUAACAUUCGGAAACGGAUGCUAAAACCGCAUAGGUUCUACAGUCGCAUGACUGAAGAAGGAAAAGAGGCUUCGGCUUCUGCUGAUGGAUGGACCCGCGGUGCAUUAGCUAGUUGGUGAGGUAACGGCUCACCAAGGCCGUGAUGCAUAGCCGACCUGAGAGGGUGAUCGGCCACAUUGGGACUGAGACACGGCCCAAACUCCUACGGGAGGCAGCAGUAGGGAAUCUUCCGCAAUGGACGCAAGUCUGACGGAGCAACGCCGCGUGAGUGAAGAAGGAUUUCGGUUCGUAAAACUCUGUUGUUAGAGAAGAACAGCGCAUAGAGUA